Long non-coding RNA from Ruditapes philippinarum (Manila clam), 3363 nucleotides. RefSeq lists it as uncharacterized. The record is from RefSeq and is a predicted model, not a curated record. The transcript is spliced from 3 exons. Lineage: Eukaryota; Metazoa; Mollusca; Bivalvia; Venerida; Veneridae.
AACAGUGUUGAUAAUUCAGGUGUCUUGAUAUAUUUUUUUUGUUUGAGUUGUUUCCCUUGGUUUCCCGCAAUAUCAGUAGUUUUGUCUAUGUUUAAGCGGCUUUGUUUGUAAAAAGUUCAAAGUGUUCUUAAUUUAUUGGAAAUAUGGAUUAUUGAUAGUUGAAGUUACAGCAGAGAGAGAGUUUGACAGUAUGCGUGUUUGAAGAAGAUAAUGCUAUUAUUGGUACAUUCAAUUCCACGAACUGAGUGUUGAUUUCCUCGAUUUCAUUGACUCGAUGAUUCAUUCUCUGAUUGAUGAUUGUUGAUUGAAUGUUCUAAUGAUCAAUCAACUUAUUGAUUUACUGAUUGAUUGGACAUGUCAUGGAGCUUAAUAUAGAUGGAGAAGUAACUUAGACGUCAUACAGUUAAAUUCAGUAUUAUUGGGGUUGUUCUAACGCAAGUUUUCAUGUGUUUCGGGAUUUUCCAAGAUUUGAUGCAUCCUGGGUAAUAGUAGCCAAAAUACCGCCAUAUUGAAUUCCAAGAGGAACAUUGACAAAAAAAGACGAAGCAUUUUCUACUUACAUAAGAAGCAAUAGUUAUUUUAAUAUGUUAAAACGUACCAUACACACUUUUCCACACAGAUAUUUCUCAAAAAAAAAAAAACAAUGUCGGCAGUAGUUCAUGGAUAUCGCCGAAGUUUAACGAGAGUGCGAGAAUCGGGGACUAGUGGGAAAACCCUCUUAUCACCGAAACGCACUGUGGAUCUGAAUCUGACUAUCAACUACUUUCUGAGCUUCCUAUCCAUUGUAUAUAUAUCUGUGGACAUGUAAGACGAAUAUAUGUGAACUGUAAGAUGUUGAAAUGUGCAAAGUUGUUUGUUUAGAAGAGAAAUACACAAUUUUUGGAGAAACUUUUUGUUUGAAUGAUCAAGGUAUAAACACUUUUUGUAAAUGAACAUCAGGCUACCAUUUUCAUAGUAAUGGCAGGGCUUCCAUUAAUGGAAGUUUGGGAGUCAUUUCACUCCUUGAAUUUGGCUUAUGACUUCCAAAAUGUAAUGCUUUUUUCUUCUUUACCAAUAUUUUGUGACUUCCAAUGUCAAGACAUUUUGCAGUCUUUGACUUCCAAAUUUUGGAUCUUAAUGGAAGCCCUGAAUGCCAAUGGACCUACAUGUUUCACCUAAAUUGUAUUGGAAAUAUGUGAAAAACUUCCUUUUAAAAAGUUUCUAGCUGAAGUUAAGCAGAGAAACAGAAUAUUGCUAUGUUGUUAAAAAAUUUCCAAGCCUUAUGGUCACAUAUUCAUGGAAAAAUUCGAAGAAAGGAAAAUAGAUUGUCAGGUGUAUACAUGUAGAUUUCCAGUCUGCUUAUCAUUUACAUACAAUCUGGAAAACUUCAGUAGUUUCACUGGGGUCAAAAUUAAUCCUGUCUAAUGGUAAUGUUGUAAAAAGUUUAAUGUAUAUAUGUAUUAUAAUAGAAAUUAGAUAUAUGAUUGUAUGGAUAUUUUGUGUAAACCAACACGUGAAAACCCUGGAACAUCAUUGCUAAAGCAAUAUUGUUAGGUACAAUACCAUACAUUUAAUAGGCAAGAAAAGUACGGUAAAAAGAUCAUUUACUAUAGAUUUAGAAUGCAAGAAAAGAUAAAAUAUCAUUCGUCGCUUCUUAGUACAAAAAGUGCCAUAUCACUUUUAUAUUUAUAUUAAUGUUUACUGCAUAAAACACUUUCUUAUUUUUCAUUUUUAGCUAGACUAUACAAAGUAUAUGGAGAGCCAUCCUACUUGCCCCGGCGUCCGCGUCCUUAUUAAAGUUUUGGUUUUCCAUAUCAUCAACCACAUCUUAUGUGACAAGGUUCAUAACUCUAGCACCACUAUUUUCAGAUUUAUCUCCCCUUGAACUUAGAAUUUUCCUUAAAAAAUAUUAUUUUCUAUCAUUACUUCCAUAUUUCUUAAGGGAUCAACUUCAUACUUCAAAUAUAUGUUCCUUAUCAUCAACCACAUCUUAUGUGACAAGGUUCAUUACUCUAGCACCAAUAUUUUCAAGUUUAUCUCCUCUUGAAGAUAGAAUUUUCCUAAAAAAAGUUAUUUUUAGCUCGACUAUUCGAUAAAUAAGUAGAGCUAUUGUAGUCACCAGUGCGUCAGUGUUGGUGUCGGCGUCUGUGUCAGUGUAGGUGUAAUAACUUAUGUAAAAGUUUUUGUAAUAUCUCGAAUAUCAAAGUCCAUUGACAUAUGGCUUUGAAACUUUGCACACUUGUUCACCAUCAUUACCCCAACAUGUAGACAGGAGGAGAUAACUGGAUCAAGCAUUUUGACAGAAUUAUGCCCCUUUUUCAACUUAGAAUUUACGUUAAGUUUUUGUAAUACCUCAAAUAUUUUUAGACUUAGAUUUUAUGUUAUUUAAUUAAAGUUUGCAUACCACCUCAGAUAUUUUCAUAUACUAUUGACAUCUGGCUAGGAACAAGUUGAAAUUUUAUACUCUUCUUUGAGAGCAUAAUAGGACUCUCUUCAAGGCCUAUAACAGUAACAUGGAUUGAAAGGAAAAUUUGGCCCUAUAACAGUAACAUGGAUUUAAAGGAAAAUGUGGCCCUUUUGUUAACAUUUUACAUUAUCAAGGCUCUUUUUCUAUCAAGCACUUAGAAUGGUAGAGCGUUGCUGUCCUACCGACAGCUAUUAUUUACUGUUACUUAUUUAUUUCUUAAGGGAUCAACUUCAUAUUUCAAAUAUAUUAUCCUUAUCAUUAACCAAAUGUUAUGUGACAAGGUUGUUUACGCUAGCACCAAUAUUGCAAGAAUUACCUCCCCAUGAACUUAGAUUUUUUUACUUGAAAAAUAUUAGUUUUUACUAUGACUUCUUUAGUUUCAAAGGCAUCUACCUCUUGCUUCUUCAGUUACAUCUUAUGUGACUAGGUUCAUAACUCUUAAAGCAAUAUUUUCAGGUUAAUAUCCAUUUGAACUUAGGAUUUUUUUAAAGAAAUAUUAUAAGUAAUUAAUUUACUUUUUAGCUCACCUGAGCAAUGCUCAGGAUGAGCUAUUGUGAUGGCCCUGUGUCCGUCGUCCGUCGUGCAUCGUCAACUUUUAACAUUUUUAACAUAAACAACAUCUCCUCUGAAACCAAUAACUGCACAUCAACCAAACUUUACAGAAAUGAUCCUUGGGUGGUCCCCUUUCAAAGUUGUUCAAAUGGUUCCGGUCUGUUGCAUAUGUAGGUCAUAGGGCCAGAAAAGGAUUUCAAAAAACACAAAAUUAAAAAAUCUACUUGUCUGAAAGUACAUGGGCCAGAGCUUUGAUUUUUGGUAUAUGGUAUCAUCUAUGGGUCCUCUACCAAAGUGGUUCAAAUUUUGUCCCUAGUGUCAAAAUUGGCCCCGCCCCGGGGGUCAUAGGUUUUUCCUUAUAUGUA